This is a long non-coding RNA of Coccinella septempunctata (seven-spotted ladybird), 1932 nucleotides long. RefSeq lists it as uncharacterized. The transcript has 2 exons. The record is from RefSeq and is a predicted model, not a curated record. Lineage: Eukaryota; Metazoa; Arthropoda; Insecta; Coleoptera; Coccinellidae.
UGGCAAUUUGUUUUGAUUUUAACGUGAUGAUUUUGGGAAGAUAUACUUGUUUAGUCUAGCCCUGAUGAUGGAAAUAAAUUUUUCCUAAACGUCUGCGAACUAGCAGAGUAUCAUUUUCCUGAAUCUCAUUGAAAAUUCUCAUUGCUAAGUUUGGCAGUAAAUUUGGGUGGUCAUUCGUCAUAAGGAUAUUCAGCAUCCGAUAUAUGAGAAAAGAAAUGAUAAUUUUUUCGACAGAUAAGGGUCAAGACUAUGGCUGCCAUACGUCCCGGUACACCGGGACAUGUCCCGGUUUGAGGCAUUGAGUCCCCGUGUCCCGGUUAGUUGUUCGGUUGUCCCGGUCAUUAAUUUGGUCGUUAUCGUGAUUCAUAUUUCCUUACAUAUGUUAGUUAAGAGGUAAGCACGUAAUCAGCCGACGUCUCCCUGGCAGUCCAAUAAAGGAGGGUCUACGCUACGUCUACACUCUACGCAAUCGCACACCAAUGGCAUGUCACCCACACUCCACGUACGGCGUCGGCGCGGCGGAUAAUAAGUACAUAUUCACCAUUCCGUCAAAAACGUACAGCGCUGCCCAGUUUUACGUAGGAUUUGUAAUAAUCGUAAUACUCAAUAUUCAAAAGAAAUUAUGCCGAAGAGAAAGUGUAGUUUUUCCGCCGAAUACACUAAAGAGUGGUCAUUCAAUAAAAAUGAAGAAAUGACCAGGAAGCUUUAUGUUCAAUUUUUGAACUUUAUAUAUCCGUAAGUCAUGGCGGUAAAUCGAGUGUGAAAGAUCAUAUUCAAAUCAAAAAUCACAACUCCAGAUUGUCAGUUGCAUCAACGUCGAAAGAUAUAUUGUCUUUUAUGAUCAAACAAAAUUCGACAGAAGAUACUCUGAUAUGCGCUGCUGAACUUACCACUGCUUAUAAAGUUGUGAAGCACCACCAAUCGUUUAGUUCGAUAGAUUGUUCGACAAAACUGAAUGCUGUCAUGUAUCCGGAUUCGAGCAUCGCAGUAAAACAAUCAACUGCCAGAACCAAUGGUACGACAAUAGUUGAAAAUAUUUUAUUCCAUUUUGACGUUUAUACACGACUCAACCCAUAGAAACAAGGGUAAGUUGACGUUUAUCCAUUCAGUGAAAUAAUUUUUUUUUAACUCACAAGUUGAAUUAAAUAACAUGAACUAAACUAGAUAAACGUCAUCUUGAUCUUGUCGCUAUGGAUUGAAUAAUGCCCUAGCAACAUCCAUCCGAAGAAAUAAACCUACUCGCCCUUCGGGCUCGUGGGUUAAACUUUCUUCUCAUAAAUAAACAUUCAUUCAACUUACUUGUUGUAUAAAUAACUAUUAGUUCCACACUCCAUUGAGCAAAUCAAAACAGAAAUGGAAAAUAUUCCGUUUUAUGGAAUUUCAACUGAUUUCAGUAAUCAUAAAUCCGAAAAGAUGUUUGAGGUUUGAAAUCAAAAUUAUUAAAAUUAGAUACAUUGCCAAAUAAAUCGUCUGAUUCAUUCUUCAUUAAAUCUUCAGAGAAUCUAAAUAUUCCAAUACAAAAUAUUGCUGCUUUCAGCGCGGAUAAUACGAAUGCUCAUUUCGGAGGAAAAGAUAGGCGUGGAGUGAAUAGGUAAUGUUUUUUUUUUUUUUAAUUAAAAGAGAUUUUGUCUGAAGACAUCAAAGGCAUCGGUUGUCCUGCGCACAUACUUCACAAUACUGCUUCCAGUGCCGCCGAUAUGAUGUCCAUUGAUGUGGAGUCUAUUGUUCUCAAAAUUUUCAAAUUUACCUACUAAGUCGAUGGCUUUAACUACUUCCAGCUGUCGAACGAUUGCUAAAGUUAUAUGUGCCAUUGAAAGAGUUUUUCCCAGAUGAUCAUACAGUGCAUAAUAAACAGAUGAUAAAUUAAUGACAUGUAGACAAACAAGACAUCAAACAAAAAAAUAAUAAUAAUAAAAAAAAAUCAUAAACCUA